RNAcentral lists this ribosomal RNA (433 nucleotides) under uncultured bacterium. RNAcentral's name for it is "partial 16S ribosomal RNA". It matches the Rfam family "Bacterial small subunit ribosomal RNA", at positions 29 to 507 of the family's 1533-position model. The record is from RNAcentral.
AACGAACGCUGGCGGCAUGCCUAACACAUGCAAGUCGAACGAGACCUUCGGGUCUAGUGGCGCACGGGUGCGUAACGCGUGGGAACCUUCCCUCAGGUUCGGAAUAACUCUCCGAAAGGGGUGCUAAUACCGGAUAAUGUCUUCGGCCCAAAGAUUUAUCGCCUUUGGAUGGGCCCGCGUUGGAUUAGCUAGUUGGUAGGGUAAAAGCCUACCAAGGCGACGAUCCAUAGCUGGUCUGAGAGGAUGAUCAGCCACACUGGGACUGAGACACGGCCCAGACUCCUACGGGAGGCAGCAGUGGGGAAUAUUGGACAAUGGGCGAAAGCCUGAUCCAGCAAUGCCGCGUGAGUGAUGAAGGCCUUAGGGUUGUAAAGCUCUUUUACCCGGGAUGAUAAUGACAGUACCGGGAGAAUAAGCUCCGGCUAACUCCGUG